GACGAACGCUGGCGGCGUGCUUAACACAUGCAAGUCGAACGGAAAGGCCCUGCUUUUGUGGGGUGCUCGAGUGGCGAACGGGUGAGUAACACGUGAGUAACCUGCCCUUGACUUUGGGAUAACUUCAGGAAACUGGGGCUAAUACCGGAUAGGAGCUCCUGCUGCAUGGUGGGGGUUGGAAAGUUUCGGCGGUUGGGGAUGGACUCGCGGCUUAUCAGCUUGUUGGUGGGGUAGUGGCUUACCAAGGCUUUGACGGGUAGCCGGCCUGAGAGGGUGACCGGCCACAUUGGGACUGAGAUACGGCCCAGACUCCUACGGGAGGCAGCAGUGGGGAAUAUUGCACAAUGGGCGGAAGCCUGAUGCAGCAACGCCGCGUGCGGGAUGACGGCCUUCGGGUUGUAAACCGCUUUCGCCUGUGACGAAGCGUGAGUGACGGUAAUGGGUAAAGAAGCACCGGCUAACUACGUGCCAGCAGCCGCGGUGAUACGUAGGGUGCGAGCGUUGUCCGGAUUUAUUGGGCGUAAAGGGCUCGUAGGUGGUUGAUCGCGUCGGAAGUGUAAUCUUGGGGCUUAACCCUGAGCGUGCUUUCGAUACGGGUUGACUUGAGGAAGGUAGGGGAGAAUGGAAUUCCUGGUGGAGCGGUGGAAUGCGCAGAUAUCAGGAGGAACACCAGUGGCGAAGGCGGUUCUCUGGGCCUUUCCUGACGCUGAGGAGCGAAAGCGUGGGGAGCGAACAGGCUUAGAUACCCUGGUAGUCCACGCUGUAAACGGUGGGUACUAGGUGUGGGGUCCUUUCCACGGGUUCCGUGCCGUAGCUAACGCUUUAAGUACCCCGCCUGGGGAGUACGGCCGCAAGGCUAAAACUCAAAGGAAUUGACGGGGCCCCGCACAAGCGGCGGAGCAUGCGGAUUAAUUCGAUGCAACGCGUAGAACCUUACCUGGGUUUGACAUGGAUCGGGAGUGCUCAGAGAUGGGUGUGCCUCUUUUGGGGUCGGUUCACAGGUGGUGCAUGGCUGUCGUCAGCUCGUGUCGUGAGAUGUUGGGUUAAGUCCCGCAACGAGCGCAACCCUUGUUCACUGUUGCCAGCACGUUAUGGUGGGGACUCAGUGGAGACCGCCGGGGUCAACUCGGAGGAAGGUGGGGAUGACGUCAAGUCAUCAUGCCCCUUAUGUCCAGGGCUUCACGCAUGCUACAAUGGCUGGUACAGAGAGUGGCGAGCCUGUGAGGGUGAGCGAAUCUCGGAAAGCCGGUCUCAGUUCGGAUUGGGGUCUGCAACUCGACCUCAUGAAGUCGGAGUCGCUAGUAAUCGCAGAUCAGCAACGCUGCGGUGAAUACAGUUCCCGGG
Molecule: ribosomal RNA, 1344 nt
Filed under: uncultured bacterium
Lineage: Bacteria
Description: 16S ribosomal RNA
Rfam family: Bacterial small subunit ribosomal RNA
Source: RNAcentral